CAGACAGUAAGAAGUCAUCAGGAUGAAAGACAAGGGCUGACUCCCCUGAGGCCCCCACCUUGCAUGGCUGGGGACCUUGGCCUUGAAUCAGAUCUGGUCUGCAUAUCCCUGCAACUGUCAGAGGCUUGGGCUGGGCUGGCCACUUGUUUUGCCUGUUUAGGUUUCCUCUCUCCCACUUAUUCUCUACGUCACGAGAAAACUGGCCAUUGCCCUUGGAAGACGCCAUCAAAAACGCCCCUCCUCAAGCCAAAGACUAAAUCCAAGGGGCUCCACAGGGGAGGGACUGAAGGACCUCCAAGAAGGUCAGUUGGUGGUCUCUUCCUCUAAGGCUGCAGGCAUACGAGGCUGGGCUGGAGUUCCUGGUGGCCCCUGCUCUGAUUCUGGGGGAUGCUUGGAUAUGGCAUCAAGUUGACCGAAGCACAUGGGAGUUUCAAUGACUAGGAUGUGAAGCCAAGAGGACCCUGGAUGCGGAGGAGAGCUGGAAAUUAGGGGACAUACCGUGGGACCACUUAUUGUAGCAGAUGGCAUCAUUCCCAAUUCUUCACCCCUCUCUGUAUCAGGAUCUUAUGCCAGAACACCCACUCCUGGAAGGCGGGCUGGCGCUGCUCAUUCAUCCUGGCUCCCAGGACCAGCUCCGUGCUUGGCGCUCAGUGGGCCUGCGGCACAUGCGCCCUCGAGUGAAUGAGUGAAAAGGCUGUGAACCCCAGAUCACCGGUGCCUGCUCAGAUGUAUGCCAUCUCAGCCAUUCUUCAUAUCUCAUCACAAGAAGGUGCUGUGGACAUCUCCGUUUUUUAGCAUCUGCUUCCCAUGUUCCUUUCCUGCUCCAUGCUCCCCUGACUGCUGCAGACCCACACCCACCUCCGCCUCCUGGCUCACUCCUUACACUGGACUGUGAGCACAGUGUUCUCUGGGCGCCGCCUUCUCCUCCAACCUUGGGCUGACAUCCGAGCAGUGGUCCUUACCUGGGGAGGACUUUCCCCUUCGGUGGACACUGGGCAGUGUCCAGACAGGUAUUUGUCACAACUGGGGAGAUGGCUACUGGUACCUUGGGGGUUGAGACCAGGGAUGCUUUUACUCCUACAAUGCACAGAAGAGUCCCCCUGACUUGGUCAUCUGCCAGAACAAAACACCAAAUCAGUGGUUCUCAACCUUCUGGCCCUUUAAAUACAGUUCCUCAUGCUGUGACCCAACCAUAAAAUUAUUUUCGUUGCU
This is a long non-coding RNA of Myotis myotis, 1212 nucleotides long. RefSeq lists it as uncharacterized. Lineage: Eukaryota; Metazoa; Chordata; Mammalia; Chiroptera; Vespertilionidae. The record is from RefSeq and is a predicted model, not a curated record. The transcript is spliced from 3 exons.